GAAUACAAAAGGAUUUGAGUCUCUUUGAAAUCUGUUUGUUCUUUCAUGCAUCUUUGGAGCUCGCUGAAGUUUUCGGAAUUUACAGUGUGGUGGUGGAAGUUCUGAUCGAGUCCGGACUCGUCUCAGUUUGCUGCUCCGAAAGAGGUAAAAAUGACUUUAGUUUUUCUUUGUUAUUUUAUGAUUAAGAGUUUUAUGAGUUUUGCGAUUGAAGCAAUGAACUGCUAUUCCAA
This 230-nucleotide unclassified non-coding RNA is filed under the name Hevea brasiliensis (rubber tree). The record is from RNAcentral. Lineage: Eukaryota; Viridiplantae; Streptophyta; Magnoliopsida; Malpighiales; Euphorbiaceae.